RNAcentral lists this ribosomal RNA (316 nucleotides) under uncultured Cryptococcus. Its description in RNAcentral is "partial large subunit ribosomal RNA". It matches the Rfam family "Eukaryotic large subunit ribosomal RNA", at positions 40 to 350 of the family's 3401-position model. The record is from RNAcentral. Lineage: Eukaryota; Fungi; Basidiomycota; Tremellomycetes.
AUAUCAAUAAGCGGAGGAAAAGAAACUAACAAGGAUUCCCCUAGUAACGGCGAGUGAACCGGGAAGAGCUCAAAUUUGAAAUCUGGCGUCCUUCGGGCGUCCGAGUUGUAAUCUAUAGAGACGUUUUCCGUGCCGGACCGUGUCCAAGUCCCUUGGAACAGGGUAUCAAAGAGGGUGACAAUCCCGUGCUUGACACGACCACCGGUGCCAUGUGAUACGUCUUCUACGAGUCGAGUUGUUUGGGAAUGCAGCUCAAAACGGGUGGUAAACUCCAUCUAAGGCUAAAUAUUGGUGGGAGACCGAUAGCGCACAAGUA